RNAcentral lists this ribosomal RNA (777 nucleotides) under Rothia uropygialis. RNAcentral's name for it is "bacterial SSU rRNA". It matches the Rfam family "Bacterial small subunit ribosomal RNA", at positions 91 to 877 of the family's 1533-position model. Lineage: Bacteria; Bacillati; Actinomycetota; Actinomycetes; Micrococcales; Micrococcaceae. RNAcentral also lists the same sequence under 2 other names. The record is from RNAcentral.
AUGAGUGGCGAACGGGUGAGUAAUACGUGAGUAACCUGCCCUUGACUCUGGGAUAAGCCUGGGAAACUGGGUCUAAUACUGGAUAUGACCUCCUGUCGCAUGGUGGGGGGUGGAAAGGGUUUGUACUGGUUGUGGAUGGGCUCACGGCCUAUCAGCUUGUUGGUGGGGUAAUGGCCUACCAAGGCGACGACGGGUAGCCGGCCUGAGAGGGUGACCGGCCACACUGGGACUGAGACACGGCCCAGACUCCUACGGGAGGCAGCAGUGGGGAAUAUUGCACAAUGGGCGCAAGCCUGAUGCAGCGACGCCGCGUGAGGGAUGACGGCCUUCGGGUUGUAAACCUCUUUCAGCACGGAAGAAGCGAAAGUGACGGUACGUGCAGAAGAAGCGCCGGCUAACUACGUGCCAGCAGCCGCGGUAAUACGUAGGGCGCAAGCGUUGUCCGGAAUUAUUGGGCGUAAAGAGCUCGUAGGCGGUUUGUCGCGUCUGCUGUGAAAGCCCGGGGCUUAACCCCGGGUGUGCAGUGGGUACGGGCAGACUUGAGUGCAGUAGGGGAGACUGGAACUCCUGGUGUAGCGGUGAAAUGCGCAGAUAUCAGGAAGAACACCGAUGGCGAAGGCAGGUCUCUGGGCUGUUACUGACGCUGAGGAGCGAAAGCAUGGGGAGCGAACAGGAUUAGAUACCCUGGUAGUCCAUGCCGUAAACGUUGGGCACUAGGUGUGGGGGACAUUCCACGUUUUCCGCGCCGUAGCUAACGCAUUAAGUGCCCCGCCUGGG